RNAcentral lists this ribosomal RNA (254 nucleotides) under uncultured bacterium. RNAcentral's name for it is "partial 16S ribosomal RNA". It matches the Rfam family "Bacterial small subunit ribosomal RNA", at positions 524 to 777 of the family's 1533-position model. The record is from RNAcentral.
UACGAAGGGGGCUAGCGUUGCUCGGAAUCACUGGGCGUAAAGGGUGCGUAGGCGGGUCUUUAAGUCAGGGGUGAAAUCCUGGAGCUCAACUCCAGAACUGCCUUUGAUACUGAAGAUCUUGAGUUCGGGAGAGGUGAGUGGAACUGCGAGUGUAGAGGUGAAAUUCGUAGAUAUUCGCAAGAACACCAGUGGCGAAGGCGACUCACUGGCCCGAUACUGACGCUGAGGCACGAAAGCGUGGGGAGCAAACAGGG